RNAcentral lists this transfer RNA (76 nucleotides) under Oscillospiraceae bacterium. RNAcentral's name for it is "tRNA-Pro". It matches the Rfam family "tRNA". From Rfam's summary of the family: Transfer RNA (tRNA) molecules are approximately 80 nucleotides in length. Lineage: Bacteria; Bacillati; Bacillota; Clostridia; Eubacteriales; Oscillospiraceae. The record is from RNAcentral.
CGGGGUGUAGCGCAGUUGGUAGCGCGCCUGGUUCGGGACUAGGAGGCCGUGGGUUCGAAUCCCGUCACUCCGACCA